GGGGGCGAUCGGUUUCGACGGGGAUGAAGAAGGAUCGGUUGCGUGUCCGCCGGCCUGGUACGGCGCAAAUCAUCCAGGAACCCAUAAGUGCGAACGACAACGCGCUCGCUCUCGCUGCCUGAACAGGGUUAGUUGAGGGCCGUCGACCCGGAGAGCCCGUCGACGCUCUCCGGUAAGGCGUCAUUCGAGUUGACUGGUUGCCGUGGGCGUUGCUCGCCACGGUGACGAGACUUUAGAGCAUCUAGCGACCCUGCGAGCCCGUCUGUGGGCGCAAUGGAGAGCGAAAUUUCAAAUACACGGACUACGCACGUAGAAGCCUCUCUGGAACAUCCUCGGACUGGGGUUCGAUUCCCCACGCCUCCACCU
Molecule: transfer-messenger RNA, 366 nt
Filed under: Sandaracinus sp.
Lineage: Bacteria; Pseudomonadati; Myxococcota; Polyangiales; Sandaracinaceae
Also listed under: 1 other name
Rfam family: transfer-messenger RNA
About the family: Bacterial tmRNA, also known as 10Sa RNA or SsrA, is named for its dual tRNA and mRNA-like properties.
Source: RNAcentral